RNAcentral lists this small RNA (945 nucleotides) under Malus domestica (apple). RNAcentral's name for it is "sRNA MD09G0016600". Lineage: Eukaryota; Viridiplantae; Streptophyta; Magnoliopsida; Rosales; Rosaceae. The record is from RNAcentral.
AUGUGGAGCCAAAAAUAUUCACUAGGCGACACGUGGACUUUUGGACAAAAGAGGACAAAAAUACCCUCGAGGCAUACCGGGUUUCCUACACGCGAGCAGUAGAGAAUCAUUUUUUCAACCAAGUCAAAAGUGCCCAAAAUAGGUAUCAACUUAAAACCUAAUUUAUUCAUAUAUUUCCCAUUUCAUUAUUUAGCUAAUCAAUUAGCUAAAUAAUAUACUUAUUCCUUUCAUAUUUCAUAAAAUCAUAAUAAUUGACUAAUUAAGGGAUUAAUUACCUAAUCAAUCCCUUAAUUGUCAAUUUGAAACAUCCACUCAAACCUAAAAACACAAGAGGGCCGGCUAUCCCAUUGAAAAACCUAAUCCAUUACCUUUUUUCUACCUUUUCCCACCAUUUCUUCCUUUUUAUUAGCCAAUUAUACAAAAAACCACCAAAACAUUCAUUUUAUGUUUAAUAGCCAAAUAAAUUGGCUAAUUAAACCUAAAAACCCUAGCCACCUCCUAUCCCUAUAAAUAUACUCCCAUUCUCACCAAAAAGCUAAUUCCAACACUUUGGCAAAAAUCCCAAAAUUCUCUAAACACUCUUUCUCUCUAAAUUCUAACUUUGGCAUCGGAGGUUCUUCGGCCAAAGCCCCCCCCCAUUCAUCGUGGGCGCGUGAGGCUCUUGGUCUUAACCUAAGGUGUUAAUUGUUUUGUAGGUGCAAAAUCGUCCAAGAUCGAGGAGGAAGAAAUUUGCAUCCACAAAUUGGUGCUUUCAUUGAGAGUUGAAAUCCAUACUCGUAGAAGACUCUCGCACAAAAAAGAAUUUUUUACUUGCAAAGGUUCUUUGAUAAAACGUAUAAGCAAAAUAUAAUGGCUAGAAAUUUAGAAAAUUCCACAAGUGCAAAAUCGUCCAAGAUCAAGGAGGAAGAAAUUUGCAUCCACACACUACAUCCAAGAAAGAAAUAA